Long non-coding RNA from Pan troglodytes (chimpanzee), 1150 nucleotides. NCBI's taxonomy places the organism in Eukaryota, Metazoa, Chordata, Mammalia, Primates, Hominidae. The record is from Ensembl.
GGAGUAAAGGUUGCUUUUGAUAGAAGUUUGGCAGAGUAAUGGUUCAAGGGAGAUGUGUAGCCGAGUAAGUUUUUUAGUUUCUGUUUCUGUUUUUCUUUUGGUUCUUAGAUUUAGAAGAUUUGAACAUAUUUGCCUGCUGACAUGAAAAGGCUAUGUCAGAAAAGUGGACAACUUUUGGAGCAGACAAGGAGUGAAGUAGGGGCUUUGAAAGGAGGGUUAACUGUCUGAGAUAGGUGAUGUAAUGAAGGAAGAAAGGAACUGAUGAGGGAAGGAUCACUGGUUGGCAUUCCCAAUCCAGAUGGAUUCUCCCUUCUGUUCCUAGAUACCAGAGUUGUCAUCAGCUGUUAUGGGGAAAGACAGUUCCUAAAUUCAGAUCUUGAAGGAGAAAAUCGUUUUACUUCACCUUUAGUAAGGAUUUCAUUUGUAAAUGUUCCCGUCAAUUGAAACAUACUGAGGAAGACAAUGACUGAACACUGCCGCAAAGCAAUGUGGCAGAAGGAAAUUAGGCAGUGGCAGAGGCUGGAAAUGCUGAGAUUUGCCAUCUAUGUAGACACAUAUGUUUCGAGAUCAUAAAUCUCUCUCUCAAUUUCGUCACUGGAUAAAGGUCACCCACUUUUACAUAUUCCACCCAGCCCUCUUUCCAUUUAAAAGGAUGCAGCUCAAUCCCAAAAUGAAUGAAAAUGUCUUGAAAUAUGACUAAACUAAAUUUCACAAAAGAAAGUAAAUGCAAAAUCAUAAAACCCACUAAGAAAGAGAGAGAGAUCAGGCUGGGCGUGGUGGCUCACACCUGUAAUCCUAGCACUUUGGGAGGCCGAGGCAGGCAGAUCACAAGGUCAGGAGAUUGAGACCAUUCUGGCCAACAUGGUGAAACCCCGUCUCUACUAAAAACCCAAAAAUUAGCCGGGCGUGGUGGCAUGCACCUGUAGUCCCAGCUACUCGGGAGGCUGAGGCAGGAGAAUGGCGUGAACCCAGGAGGCAGAGUUUGCAGUGAGCCGAGAUCGCGCCACUGCACUCCAGCCUGGGCGACAGAGCGAUACUCCCUCUCAAAAAAAAAAGAAAAAAGAAAUUUUAUAGAAGUGACUUUAUUUUUAAUGUACAGUUUUGCCUUUAUUUCCUAUAUUGUUUACUUGGCAUUUAACUUGUGCUGGCC